Small nucleolar RNA from Paramormyrops kingsleyae, 131 nucleotides. Ensembl annotates it as small nucleolar RNA SNORA42/SNORA80 family. Lineage: Eukaryota; Metazoa; Chordata; Actinopteri; Osteoglossiformes; Mormyridae. The record is from Ensembl.
GCAUGACAUGAUUUAUGAUUGGACCCACGCCAUGGUCCUGUCAUAGUGUACGGCAUGCUAGAGUAAACUACUCCGAACCAUUGACGGGCAUUUGACCGUAUGCCUGAAUCACUGAAGGGGGUAGAACAGCU